CCUACGGGAGGCAGCAGUGGGGAAUAUUGGACAAUGGGGGAAACACUGAUCCAGCGAAGCCGCGUGAGGGAAGAAGUAUUUCGGUACGUAAAGCUCUAUCAGCAGGGAAGAAAAUGAUGGUACGUGUCUAAGAAGCAGCGGCUCACUACGUGCCAGCAGCCGCGGUAAUACGUAGGGGGCAGGCGUUAUCCGGAUUUACUGGGUGUUAAGGGAGCGUAGACGGCGGCGAAAGUCUGGAGUGAAUGGCCGGGGACCAACCCCGGAACUGCCCUGGAAACUGUGAAGCUGGAGUGCAGGAGAGGUAAGCGGAAUUCCUGGUGUAGCGGUGAAAUGCGUAGAUAUCAGGAGGAACUCCGGCUGCGAAGGCGGCUUUCUGGACUGUAACUGACGUUGAGGCUCGAAGGCGUGGGGAUCAAACAGGAUUAGAUACCCGUGUAGUC
RNAcentral lists this ribosomal RNA (440 nucleotides) under uncultured bacterium. RNAcentral describes it as "partial 16S ribosomal RNA". It matches the Rfam family "Bacterial small subunit ribosomal RNA", at positions 338 to 795 of the family's 1533-position model. The record is from RNAcentral.